This 253-nucleotide ribosomal RNA is filed under the name uncultured bacterium. RNAcentral describes it as "partial 16S ribosomal RNA". It matches the Rfam family "Bacterial small subunit ribosomal RNA", at positions 524 to 776 of the family's 1533-position model. The record is from RNAcentral.
UACGUAGGGUGCGAGCGUUGUCCGGAAUUAUUGGGCGUAAAGAGCUUGUAGGCGGUUUGUCGCGUCUGCCGUGAAAGCCCAGGGCUUAACCCUGGGUCUGCGGUGGGUACGGGCAGACUAGAGUGUGGUAGGGGAGACUGGAAUUCCUGGUGUAGCGGUGAAAUGCGCAGAUAUCAGGAGGAACACCGAUGGCGAAGGCAGGUCUCUGGGCCGCUACUGACGCUGAGAAGCGAAAGCAUGGGGAGCAAACAGG